UCUCCGUUGGUGAACCAGCGGAGGGAUCAUUACUGGAAUCGCAAGACUCCCAACCCCUGUGAACGUACCGAAACGUUGCCUCGGCGGGCCUCGCGCCCGCCGGCGGCCCCUUACUCUGACUCAUUGCGUUGGCAUCUCAGAGAAAACACAAACCAAUCAAAACUUUCAACAACGGAUCUCUUGGCUCUGGCAUCGAUGAAGAACGCAGC
This 209-nucleotide unclassified non-coding RNA is filed under the name uncultured fungus. RNAcentral's name for it is "sequence contains ITS1, 5.8S rRNA gene". The stretch from base 161 to 209 matches the Rfam family "5.8S ribosomal RNA", at positions 1 to 49 of the family's 154-position model. Lineage: Eukaryota; Fungi. The record is from RNAcentral.